RNAcentral lists this unclassified non-coding RNA (325 nucleotides) under Hevea brasiliensis (rubber tree). The record is from RNAcentral. Lineage: Eukaryota; Viridiplantae; Streptophyta; Magnoliopsida; Malpighiales; Euphorbiaceae.
CAGCAAGCAUUAGAGCAGGAGGCUGUCAUCCCCAUUAAGCAAGGGUCUUUCCAUGUAGAUAUUCCAGAUCCAGAUCUCCAAGAUGAAAUGAUUGUUCAGACCAUUGAGUGUGAGCUCAACAAGAUAGGCAACUCCAACGGCUUAACCCGUUCAAUCAGUAAUCUCAAAGUUGACAGUGCAUGAGGCUUUGAGGCUUCGACGACGGAAUUUCUCACAUUAUAAGAAGUCAAAUAUGGUUGGAUGCCUGAAUGUCGGUUUAGUAGGUUGAGGGACAAGGGCGUGUAAUGUCAGAAGUAGGAUCAAGUUAUUAAUUGAUAGAAUUGGG